RNAcentral lists this non-coding RNA (200 nucleotides) under Rhodobacter capsulatus. The record is from RNAcentral. RNAcentral also lists the same sequence under 1 other name. Lineage: Bacteria; Pseudomonadati; Pseudomonadota; Alphaproteobacteria; Rhodobacterales.
GGGGUAACCAGCGGCGUCGGUUUCCGAAAGGAAUUGAAAGGGAAUCCGUUGUCAGAAGCGUCUGACGAACCGGAACUGCCCCCGCAACUGUAGGCGGCGAGGGGUUUCGCACCCAAAGUCACUGUGGCGCAUGCCAUGGGAAGGCCGCGAAACCUCGAUGACCCGCCAGUCAGGAGACCUGCCGACACGUCGAAACGCAA